Molecule: ribosomal RNA, 427 nt
Filed under: uncultured bacterium
Lineage: Bacteria
Description: bacterial SSU rRNA
Rfam family: Bacterial small subunit ribosomal RNA
Source: RNAcentral
UGGGGAAUUUUGGACAAUGGACGCAAGUCUGAUCCAGCCAUGCCGCGUGCGGGAAGAAGGCCUUCGGGUUGUAAACUGCUUUUGUACGGAACGAAACGGUCUUUUCUAAUACAGAAGGCUAAUGACGGUACCGUAAGAAUAAGCACCGGCUAACUACGUGCCAGCAGCCGCGGUAAUACGUAGGGUGCGAGCGUUAAUCGGAAUUACUGGGCGUAAAGCGUGCGCAGGCGGUUAUGUAAGACAGAUGUGAAAUCCCCGGGCUCAACCUGGGACCUGCAUUUGUGACUGCAUAGCUAGAGUACGGCAGAGGGAGAUUGAAUUCCGCGUGUAGCAGUGAAAUGCGUAGAUAUGCGGAGGAACACCGAUGGCGAAGGCAAUCCCCUGGGCCUGUACUGACGCUCAUGCACGAAAGCGUGGGGAGCAAACA